Molecule: ribosomal RNA, 266 nt
Filed under: uncultured bacterium
Lineage: Bacteria
Description: partial 16S ribosomal RNA
Source: RNAcentral
CUGCUGCCUUCCGUAGGAGUUUGGGCCGUGUCUCAGUCCCAAUGUGGCCGUCCACCCUCUCAGGCCGGCUACCGAUCGUCGCCUUGGUGGGCCCCUACCCCGCCAACAAGCUAAUCAGACGCGGGUCCAUCUUACACCACCGGAGUUUUUCACACCGGGCCAUGCGGCCCUGUGCGCUUAUGCGGUAUUAGCACCUGUUUCCAGGUGUUAUCCCCCUGUGUAAGGCAGGUUACCCACGCGUUACUCACCCGUCCGCCACUCGAAUG